RNAcentral lists this ribosomal RNA (90 nucleotides) under Gossypium arboreum. The record is from RNAcentral. Lineage: Eukaryota; Viridiplantae; Streptophyta; Magnoliopsida; Malvales; Malvaceae.
GGGUGCGAUCAUACCCGCACUAAUGCAUCGGAUCCCAUCAGAACUCCGCAGUUAAGCGUGCUUGGGCGAGAGUAGUACUAGGAUGGGUGA